AACGAACGCCGGCGGCAGGCCUAACACAUGCAAGUCGAACGCCCUAGCAAUAGGGAGUGGCAGACGGGUGAGUAACACGUGGGAACCUUCCCUAUAGUAUGGAAUAGCCCAGGGAAACUUGGAGUAAUACCGUAUACGCCCGAGAGGGGAAAGAUUUAUCGCUAUAGGAUGGGCCCGCGUAGGAUUAGCUAGUUGGUGAGGUAAUGGCUCACCAAGGCGACGAUCCUUAGCUGGUCUGAGAGGACGACCAGCCACACUGGGACUGAGACACGGCCCAGACUCCUACGGGAGGCAGCAGUGGGGAAUAUUGGACAAUGGGCGCAAGCCUGAUCCAGCCAUGCCGCGUGAGUGAUGAAGGCCUUAGGGUUGUAAAGCUCUUUUGCCGGGGACGAUAAUGACGGUACCCGGAGAAUAAGUCCCGGCUAACUUCGUG
This 433-nucleotide ribosomal RNA is filed under the name uncultured bacterium. RNAcentral describes it as "bacterial SSU rRNA". It matches the Rfam family "Bacterial small subunit ribosomal RNA", at positions 29 to 507 of the family's 1533-position model. The record is from RNAcentral.